AAUUGUCUGUUGUAUUUGUGUCUGGCUACGUCCCCUGAGCCGAUAAAUAAACAACUAAGGAUAUGAGAUAGGUUACUAUUGUGCAAGCCCACCUCGCACUCCCCGAGUACUGCUUUGGGACGCUUGAAGUGGGAAGCCUGCGGUAGACUUCGAAUUUCCGCCUUGAGCCUUACUGGUUCAGGUUUUAUGCCAUCACGGUACAACGGAUUUUAA
Molecule: non-coding RNA, 213 nt
Filed under: Candidatus Thioglobus sp.
Lineage: Bacteria; Pseudomonadati; Pseudomonadota; Gammaproteobacteria; Pseudothioglobaceae (SeqCode)
Description: 6S RNA
Rfam family: 6S / SsrS RNA
About the family: E. coli 6S RNA was the first non coding RNA to be sequenced, but its function was unknown until recently. It consists of 184 nucleotides that fold into an extended hairpin structure with a large single-stranded internal bulge.
Source: RNAcentral